Molecule: ribosomal RNA, 728 nt
Filed under: Vibrio sp. Vb261
Lineage: Bacteria; Pseudomonadati; Pseudomonadota; Gammaproteobacteria; Vibrionales; Vibrionaceae
Description: bacterial SSU rRNA
Rfam family: Bacterial small subunit ribosomal RNA
Source: RNAcentral
ACGACACUAACAAUCCUUCGGGUGCGUUAAUGGGCGUCGAGCGGCGGACGGGUGAGUAAUGCCUAGGAAAUUCGCCUUGAUGUGGGGGAUAACCAUUGGAAACGAUGGCUAAUACCGCAUAAUGCCUACGGGCCAAAGAGGGGGACCUUCGGGCCUCUCGCGUCAAGAUAUGCCUAGGUGGGAUUAGCUAGUUGGUGAGGUAAUGGCUCACCAAGGCGACGAUCCCUAGCUGGUCUGAGAGGAUGAUCAGCCACACUGGAACUGAGACACGGUCCAGACUCCUACGGGAGGCAGCAGUGGGGAAUAUUGCACAAUGGGCGAAAGCCUGAUGCAGCCAUGCCGCGUGUAUGAAGAAGGCCUUCGGGUUGUAAAGUACUUUCAGUUGUGAGGAAGGGGGUAGCGUUAAUAGCGCUAUCUCUUGACGUUAGCAACAGAAGAAGCACCGGCUAACUCCGUGCCAGCAGCCGCGGUAAUACGGAGGGUGCGAGCGUUAAUCGGAAUUACUGGGCGUAAAGCGCAUGCAGGUGGUUCAUUAAGUCAGAUGUGAAAGCCCGGGGCUCAACCUCGGAACUGCAUUUGAAACUGGUGAACUAGAGUACUGUAGAGGGGGGUAGAAUUUCAGGUUGUAGCGGUGAAAUGCGUAGAGAUCUGAAGGAAUACCAGUGGCGAAGGCGGCCCCCUGGACAGAUACUGACACUCAGAUGCGAAAGCGUGGGGAGCAAACAGGA